UCCAAUGUCGAGCGUGCGCUCCACCAUCAGCAGCAUCGCCAGCAGCAGUGCUAGCAGUGGGAGCAGCAGCUUCUUCCAAGGUCAGUCCAAGAUGACUGUCUCCAUGGCGGGUGCGCGAGUGAGCAUGAUGGCGACGGCGGACAAGGCAGCAGCACCAGCGCCGGCGGGAUUCACCCCGCCAGAGCUCAAGCCCGACACUCCAUCACCGAUCUUCGGCGGCAGCACGGGCGGGCUGCUGCGCAAGGCACAGGUGGAGGAGUUUUAUGUGAUCACCUGGGAAUCGGGCAAGGAGCAGAUCUUCGAGAUGCCCACGGGCGGCGCCGCCAUCAUGAGAUCCGGGCCCAAUCUCCUCAAGCUCGCGCGCAAGGAGCAGUGCCUGGCGCUGGGCACGCAGCUGCGCUCCAAGUUCAAGAUCAACUAUCAGUUCUACAGGGUGUUUCCAAACGGCGAGGUGCAGUACUUGCAUCCCAAGGACGGAGUGUACCCCGAGAAGGUGAACCCCGGGCGGAAGGGCGUGGGCGUCAAUCUCAGGUCCAUUGGCAAGAACUGCAACCCGGUGGAUCUCAAGUUCACUGGCAAGGCCGCCUACGACGUCUAAGAUCUCAUUUCUAGUUCUCCGUGUAAACCAUGAAACUUUAAAAGCAGUCCAUGGGCCUUGCAUCUCUCACCUUUGAGUAAAUGGAUCUCGAUCGAACUGUGUAAAUCUAUCUUCUCUUCGUUCCAUCUUUUCUUCAUUUUUUAAGUAAUGUUUAUGAUAACAAAGAACGCAAGUUUGAAAAGCUUGUACUGCAUGUGGUGGUGUUCUCAGGUAUGAAAAGUUUGUUCACCUCAGUAUCUACUGCAGCUAGGUAGACGUUUCAGUCUUGCCUUUGUCCAUUUGAACCUACAUAUAAACAUACACUUUAAAUCAUAUUGAAAACUAUGGUGUAUGAUUCUUCAUAUCCUUUCAUCUCUUCUUGUACAAGAUUCUUGUGUAGAAUCACAUAUGUUACAUAUGAAAACUUUUUAAAUCAUGAAUUACCUUUAUGUUGCUAGUAAUGUUUAUAUGCUUAUGUAUACAUAGGAAAUAAAUGGGGAAAAUCAUUCUUACACUGCCGCAAACAUGGACACAAGGAAAACCAUAUGGUAUGUAUAUGUUGUAACUGAGAAUGUAUGUUUACAACAACAAAAAAAAAACAA
This 1179-nucleotide long non-coding RNA is filed under the name Selaginella moellendorffii. Its description in RNAcentral is "long non-coding RNA (SMOE_LNC002207)". Lineage: Eukaryota; Viridiplantae; Streptophyta; Lycopodiopsida; Selaginellales; Selaginellaceae. The record is from RNAcentral.